AGGCAGUUAUUUAAUUAAAAUGUUUGAUUUCGGCUCAAAAGCCUGUGGUUAAAGUCCAUAACUGCCUA
Non-coding RNA from Knipowitschia caucasica, 68 nucleotides. The record is from the annotation of a GenBank genome assembly. Lineage: Eukaryota; Metazoa; Chordata; Actinopteri; Gobiiformes; Gobiidae.